UACGAAGGGGGCUAGCGUUGCUCGGAAUCACUGGGCGUAAAGCGCACGUAGGCGGCUUUUUAAGUCAGGGGUGAAAUCCCGGGGCUCAACCCCGGAACUGCCCUUGAAACUGGAGAGCUAGAAUCUUGGAGAGGCGAGUGGAAUUCCGAGUGUAGAGGUGAAAUUCGUAGAUAUUCGGAAGAACACCAGUGGCGAAGGCGACUCGCUGGACAAGUAUUGACGCUGAGGUGCGAAAGCGUGGGGAGCAAACAGG
RNAcentral lists this ribosomal RNA (253 nucleotides) under uncultured bacterium. Its description in RNAcentral is "partial 16S ribosomal RNA". It matches the Rfam family "Bacterial small subunit ribosomal RNA", at positions 524 to 776 of the family's 1533-position model. The record is from RNAcentral.